GAUGAACGCUGGCGGCGUGCCUAACACAUGCAAGUCGAACGAAGCUUGACGGAUGAUUUCUUCGGAAUGAAACCAGAUAUGACUUAGUGGCGGACGGGUGAGUAACACGUGAGCAACCUGCCUUUCAGAGGGGGAUAACGGCUGGAACGGGUCGUUAAUCCCGCCUGAUGUGUCCGGAUGGCAUCACCUGAACUCCAAAACUUUAUCGCUGAAAGAUGGGCUCGCGUCUGAUUAGAUAGUUGGUGGGGUAACGGCCUACCAAGUCUACGUCCAGUAGCCGGACUGAGAGGAUGAACGGCCACAUUGGGACUGAGAUACGGCCCAGACUCCUACGGGAGGCAGCAGUGGGGAAUAUUGCACAAUGGGGGAAACCCUGAUGCAGCAACGCCGCGUGAAGGAUGACGGUUUUCGGAUUGUAAACUUCUUUUCUUAGGGACGAAGACAGUGACGGUAGCUAAGGAAUAAGCAGCGGCUAACUACGUG
Molecule: ribosomal RNA, 483 nt
Filed under: uncultured bacterium
Lineage: Bacteria
Description: partial 16S ribosomal RNA
Rfam family: Bacterial small subunit ribosomal RNA
Source: RNAcentral